RNAcentral lists this ribosomal RNA (1352 nucleotides) under uncultured bacterium. RNAcentral describes it as "bacterial SSU rRNA". It matches the Rfam family "Bacterial small subunit ribosomal RNA", at positions 28 to 1381 of the family's 1533-position model. The record is from RNAcentral.
AUUGAACCUUGGAGGCAUGCCUUACACAUGCAAGUCGAACGGCAGCACGGAGCUUGCUCUGGUGGCGAGUGGCGAACGGGUGAGUAAUAUAUCGGAACGUACCCUGGAGUGGGGGAUAACGUAGCGAAAGUUACGCUAAUACCGCAUACGAUCUAAGGAUGAAAGUGGGGGAUCGCAAGACCUCAUGCUCGUGGAGCGGCCGAUAUCUGAUUAGCUAGUUGGUAGGGUAAAAGCCUACCAAGGCAUCGAUCAGUAGCUGGUCUGAGAGGACGACCAGCCACACUGGAACUGAGACACGGUCCAGACUCCUACGGGAGGCAGCAGUGGGGAAUUUUGGACAAUGGGCGAAAGCCUGAUCCAGCAAUGCCGCGUGAGUGAAGAAGGCCUUCGGGUUGUAAAGCUCUUUUGUCAGGGAAGAAACGGUGAGAGCUAAUAUCUCUUGCUAAUGACGGUACCUGAAGAAUAAGCACCGGCUAACUACGUGCCAGCAGCCGCGGUAAUACGUAGGGUGCAAGCGUUAAUCGGAAUUACUGGGCGUAAAGCGUGCGCAGGCGGUUUUGUAAGUCUGAUGUGAAAUCCCCGGGCUCAACCUGGGAAUUGCAUUGGAGACUGCAAGGCUAGAAUCUGGCAGAGGGGGGUAGAAUUCCACGUGUAGCAGUGAAAUGCGUAGAUAUGUGGAGGAACACCGAUGGCGAAGGCAGCCCCCUGGGUCAAGAUUGACGCUCAUGCACGAAAGCGUGGGGAGCAAACAGGAUUAGAUACCCUGGUAGUCCACGCCCUAAACGAUGUCUACUAGUUGUCGGGUCUUAAUUGACUUGGUAACGCAGCUAACGCGUGAAGUAGACCGCCUGGGGAGUACGGUCGCAAGAUUAAAACUCAAAGGAAUUGACGGGGACCCGCACAAGCGGUGGAUGAUGUGGAUUAAUUCGAUGCAACGCGAAAAACCUUACCUACCCUUGACAUGGCUGGAAUCCUCGAGAGAUUGAGGAGUGCUCGAAAGAGAACCAGUACACAGGUGCUGCAUGGCUGUCGUCAGCUCGUGUCGUGAGAUGUUGGGUUAAGUCCCGCAACGAGCGCAACCCUUGUCAUUAGUUGCUACGAAAGGGCACUCUAAUGAGACUGCCGGUGACAAACCGGAGGAAGGUGGGGAUGACGUCAAGUCCUCAUGGCCCUUAUGGGUAGGGCUUCACACGUCAUACAAUGGUACAUACAGAGCGCCGCCAACCCGCGAGGGGGAGCUAAUCGCAGAAAGUGUAUCGUAGUCCGGAUUGUAGUCUGCAACUCGACUGCAUGAAGUUGGAAUCGCUAGUAAUCGCGGAUCAGCAUGUCGCGGUGAAUACGUUCCCGGGUCU